UGGAGCAUGUGGUUUAAUUCGAAGCAACGCGAAGAACCUUUACCAGGUCUUGACAUCCCGAUGCUAUUCUAGAGAUAGAAAGUUACUUCGGUACAUCGGUGACAGGUGGUGCAUGGUUGUCGUCAGCUCGUGUCGUGAGAUGUUGGGUUAAGUCCCGCAACGAGCGCAACCCCUAUUGUUAGUUGCCAUCAUUCAGUUGGGCACUCUAGCGAGACUGCCGGUAAUAAACCGGAGGAAGGUGGGAUGACGUCAAAUCAUCAUGCCCCUUAUGACCUGGGCUACACACGUGCUACAAUGGUUGGUACAACGAGUUGCGAGUCGGUGACGGCGAGCUAAUCUCUUAAAGCCAAUCUCAGUUCGGAUUGUAGGCUGCAGCUCGCCUACAUGAAGUCGGAAUCGCUAGUAAUCGCGGAUCAGCACGCCGCGGUGAAUACGUUCCCGGGCCUU
This 447-nucleotide ribosomal RNA is filed under the name uncultured Streptococcus sp. Its description in RNAcentral is "bacterial SSU rRNA". It matches the Rfam family "Bacterial small subunit ribosomal RNA", at positions 933 to 1382 of the family's 1533-position model. Lineage: Bacteria; Bacillati; Bacillota; Bacilli; Lactobacillales; Streptococcaceae. The record is from RNAcentral.